Salvia splendens (bonfire salvia) is the source of this 3825-nucleotide RNA transcript. RefSeq lists it as uncharacterized. The transcript has 3 exons. The record is from RefSeq and is a predicted model, not a curated record. NCBI's taxonomy places the organism in Eukaryota, Viridiplantae, Streptophyta, Magnoliopsida, Lamiales, Lamiaceae.
UCAAUUUCUCAAAUCCCAAAUUUUGAAGAGGAAAUCCCUAGCCUCCACCCCUUCUCUCCUUCAUCGUUCGACAUCGCAGCCCAUCACCACCGCCUCUAUCUCCGGCGAGGGAGAUCGACAUCAAGGAGAUCUUUCUCCUUCUCUCGGCAGCAUCGCUGCUGUCGCGACACCAAAUCGCCGUAGCCUCUACACCGGAUUCAGCGAGUCGCUGCCGCUGAAAUAUUCACGGCGGUGGAGACGCUGAUCGUGCCGUCCGUCGCCGUCUCUACACUGGUCGGGAGUCCGCUGCCUUCGGAGUUACCGUGCCGCUGGCCCGUCUGCCGUCUUACGUGGGAGCAGCUCAUUCUCCGGCAAUGGCAGCAUCGCCACUGGACGUCGGUCCCUGCCCUUUCUUUCUUUCCAGCGCUGUCGCACAAUACCGAGUUCAGACAGUCCAGCUCCCCCUUCCCGGUAGCGGCUCCGUCGCCAUCUCCGUCAGUUCUCCGGGGCUCCGUCGCCUAAGCUAAGUCCCCCUUCCUAGCUUGUACUAGUUCUUGAGAGUUUACUGAAGUGAGUUAUAGUGUAUGGAGCUACUUGGCAAAUUUUUGUGAUGUUGCUGUAGUAAACCUUUAAGUUCCAUCUUAAGUGAUUUGUUAGAUUCGACAUUAGUUCUAUAAGUUCUGCUCUAUGCUUUGCUAUCUCCCUCAAUCUUAAGGCAUGUUCUAAUGUGAUGCAAAGUGGUGUCGUGGAAGUUACCUGUUGUGGAGUGUUGAAAAUAUAUACAGUGACAAAAUAAGAAGUGGAGAUAAGAAGUGGCAAAAUAUCUGCAUAUGACCUUUGGACAGCUGGAUCCUAGUCAGCAGUGAGGUAGCUUAGUUAGUUAGUUAGUUUGUUAUUUUUGUUAGUUUUGUUAGCUUAGCUUUGUUUUUCUCGAUAGCUAUAUAUAGCUUCCUUGUCCAUUGUAAUCACAAUUUUUUGAUGAUCAAUAAUAGAACACUUCCUCACUUUUCAUUCUAUGGUUUCUGGUUCAUCAUUUUCUACAUGGUAUCAGUGAAAAUUAUCUCAUUUCCGCUGUAAUUCUCUACUUUUAUUCCGAUCAAAUGGCUCCUCGCGGCGGCGGCAAUCAGUUCUAGCCGGCGGAAGACAUUUCUAGUCCUUACCACCUACAUCCGAGUGACAAUCCCGGUCUGCAACUGGUAUCUCAACCUCUUACUGGUUCUAAUUACAUAAAUUGGAGUAGAUCUAUGUCUACGGCUCUCUUAGCUAAGAAUAAACUGCUUUUUGUUAAUGGUGUGUUGUUGAAACCAACCGAUGAUGAUCUCCUUUAUCACGCUUGGAUCCGAUGUAAUAGUUUGGUUGUAUCCUAGAUUAGAAACUCUCUAUCACCUCAGAUUUGUUCUAGCAUCAUGUAUCUAGAUGAUGCGAAGGAAAUAUGGUCAGAUUUGAAAGAUCGCUUCUCACAGUGUGAUUCUGCACGGAUAUAUCAACUCAAGCAGAAAAUUAUGUCUCUAACUCAAGGAGAUGAUGAUGUCAAUACCUACUUCACUAAUCUUCGAAUCAUUUGGGAUGAGUAUAAGCAUACUCAACCAAUAUCCUGGUGCAUUUGUACAAAUUGCAGAUGUCAAAGUGCAGCCAAAUGGCACAAGCAUCAAGAAGAAGAGUGUGCUAUGCAGUUCCUAAUUGGAUUGAAUGCUUCUUAUUCUCAGAUCUGUUCUCACAUUCUAUCUAUGGUGCCUUUACCUACUUUAUCUAAGGCUUUCUCUUUAGUUCUCCAAGAGGAACGACAACGAACUAUUGGAGGAUAUAGUCAAUCUCCAAAAUAUUCUCCUCUGCCCCCAGCUGUGAGUGAGCAUCCAUACUCUGCUAAUACAGCUUCAACUUACUAUAACAGAACCAGAGUUUGUACUCAUUGUGGAAAAACAAAUCACACGGCUGAUAAAUGCUUCACACUUCAUGGAUUUCCACCUAGCUAUGGCAAGGGAAAGUUUAAACCGAAUCAGAAUUGGAAGAAUUACAGUAACUCUAAGUCUGUGAAUUUUGUUGAUGACACCAUUCCAGAGGCAUCUGAGAAGGCUGUUACUUCUUCAACUAUGCCUACAUUCGAUCAGUGUCAGCAGCUGAUUUCUCUACUGCAGAGCCAACUUGCUACUGGUUCCUCUUCCCUUACCUCUUCAGCCGCACAAAAUUUGCCUUCACCUACACAAUCUCCACCUUUUACAGGAAGCUUCUCGGGCAAUUGUGAUUGGGAAGGGUAGAAGAAUGGGAAACUUGUACACUCUAGAUGUACUUUCUAAGCAAGCAGCUACUCAAGGUCAUUCCACUCACCAUACUUCUCCCUCUGCUUCCUUGUCUGUUACUCUUUAAAUGUCAAUUCUGUUAUUAGUAUUGAUGUUUGGCAUAAGAGAUUGGGCCAUUUAUCUUUCAGCAAAUUAAAAACCAUGUCAGAAACUCUCUCUUUCAGUAAUAAAAGUCAUUCAUUGUGUGAAAUUUGUCCUCUUGCUAAGCAACAACAUUUAUCCUUCCAAUCUUCUGACAAUGUUGCUAAAAAUCCUUUUGAUCUCAUUCAUUGUGAUGUUUGGGGCCCUUUUACUCCAAGCACACAUCAAGGAUACAAAUACUUUCUUACUAUAGUUGAUGAUUGCUCGAGAUUUGUCUGGACUUUCUUGAUGCAGACAAAAUCUGAUGUCAAUAUCAUUCUAAAUCAGUUCUUCAAUACCAUUCUCACUCAGUUUUCAAGAAAGAUCAAGGCCAUUAGAUCACUAGUUGGACAGCUGGAUCCUAGUCAGCAGUGAGUCAGCUUAGUUAGUUAGUUAGUUUGUUAUUUUUGUUAGUUUUGUUAGCUCAGCUUUGUUUUUCUCGAUAGCUAUAUAUAGCUUCCUUCUCUAUUGUAAUCACAGUUUUUUGAUGAUCAAUAAUAGAUCACUUCCUCACUUUUCAUUCUAUGGUUUCUGGUUCAUCAUUUUCUACGUGGAGCUGGAGUUGUGGACUCCUUCCUUUGUCACCUAGUUCUCGGCUUGCCUUUGCAGGCUGACUGAGGUUCUUGCUUCUCGAUGAAACAGAAUAAUCUUUCCUAGGAAUCUUCUUACUCUCACUCUCUCCCUCUCCUCUAUUCUCUGUCUACUGAUUGUGAAGUGGAUUUGUGGUGAAUGGAGGGUAUAUAAAUGGAAGCUGUACCUUGUAGUUUGUUGAGAUUUAGCAGAAUCAGAUAUGGAAGUUCCUUGUCUUUCGAUUCUUUGCAACUACUUUAACUGCAUUUUGGUGAUAUACCAUGAACAAGGACGUUUGUAUUUAUGCUAUUAGUUGAUUUCUUUGCAGGUGCAAAACUGAAAUGGUGGUUAACUGCAGCUUUGCAGGGCUGUUGCAGCUGUAAGGGAUGGAUGGUGUUGCACGGUUCAUUUUCCCCAUGGCAGUUCUGCUGUAAAUGCUGGGAUGCAGUGUUUGUUAGCUGUGGAUCUGCAGAGGUGCAGCGGUUGUACCCUCUCUUUUCUGUGGGUUCGGAGCAGCCGUGCUGCAGUUUUUCCUCUCCUUUCUCGGCUCGUGGCAGCCUUGCAGUGGGUCUGCAGCUCCAGGGUGGUACAGAUUGAGUUGCAGUCUACAGGGAAUGGGCUGGCCUACAUACGGCUUAUCGCCCUAACGUCUCCGCCCUUCGGGCCUUUCUGAACCUAGGCCGAGAUGGCUCGCGAAAGAGGCCGAUGAAGCCCUCUAGAAUAUACUAGUUAGUUGGCGUGUAUCUCGUUCGCCUUUGUUUUCACUGUAUGUUUAACGUUUGUAAUUUUAGACUUAGCUCGAUACUAAACGUUGUGUUUUUGUUUACUCGAGAAAUAAACACAUACUCUUUCUUCUUUA